Heterocephalus glaber (naked mole-rat) is the source of this 1931-nucleotide long non-coding RNA. The record is from Ensembl. NCBI's taxonomy places the organism in Eukaryota, Metazoa, Chordata, Mammalia, Rodentia, Bathyergidae.
CAGAGACUCAAAACCCUGAAGCACUUCUCAGUUCACCUGUUCAGGACUGAAGACUUUUGAAAUUAUCUAUCAGAGACUCAAACUGAAGCAUUUCUCACAUCUCCUUGUCAAGACUCAAGAUUGAGAGCUUAUCAUUCAGCCUCAGAACUUGACGGGAGACAGAAUACAACUAUAAUUUCAUGGCGAACCCAAACCCCAGAAGUGACUGCUCAGACUCAGAGAAGUCUCAUAUGAAAAUAAAUUCCCCAGAGAGCCUCUCAAGGGGUGAUCUCCCUAAUUCCCACACCUUUCACCAAAAGACCAAAACCCCCUUCAGAGGUUACAUCUGUCGCCGGGAGACGACAACCUUCUAUGAAGGAUGUGUUGUGGGUUCUUCAAUCAACAACCUCCCCCCUGUGGAAGAACCAGAGGACACACAAAGUCUAGGAAGAUACAUGGGCCACAACUCUCGCACUAAGGACAACCCCAACCUGGUGUGUGCACCAAAUACUGGCGUUGAAGAGGAUGAGGACACAGACUCAGACAGCAAAGGAGCAGGAGCUGAUCAAAUUGUUACUGACAAUGACCAGCAGAUAAACAAGAAUUCAACAUUCAGGGGGCAACGGAUUGACCACGUGGCUGGCUGGCCAGUAAUUCAGCCUGUCAGUCCUAAACUCACUCAGGAACAAGCAGCAGAAGAGAGGAACAAGGAGGAGAGAAAGGAGGAAAGCAAAAGCAGUGAGGAUGAGGAUAAGGAAGCUGAUAAACAAAUUGAAAAUGGUGAAAACCAAGAUGAAGGCUUGCUAAUGGGAUCAACUGAACAAGAAAAAAAGGACGUGGAGAUCAAGAACAACAAAGACAUGGAGAGUAAUAAAAAAGAGUAUGUGGAGCUUUAUGCACAAAUCCAGGUGUAUGAAAGAUCUGAUGACACCAGGCUACCUGAUUCCACUGAGGACAAGGGAAAACAGAACAGUGAGAGUCACAAGGAGAAGGAAGAAAUACAAAUCAAUGAAGAGCCUCAGGACGCUGAUAAACAAAGCCAUGGCUAUGACAAAGACGAUGCCCUCCAGCUCCGAGAUCCACCUGAGGAAAACUUCCAGCUGGGCAGCAGAUCCCCUCCUCAUCCAGCUCAGGUCCUGUGUGAAGAACAGUGUACAUGUGAGGACCUGCCUGCCUGUAAACCACUAGGAAAUACAGAAGUCACCCAAGUCCCAGAGAUGCCAGCGAUGCUCCCAGAAGAUGAACCUGCUGAGAUGCUGAAGAUCAGCACUGAGUGGUCCUCCUCGGUCUCCUCUGGGGAGUCAGAGGAGGACGACACUGGAUCUGACACACAAACCAUAACCUGUGUGAAUUGGAGGCAGGCCUUCCGCCGGCUCCGGAAAAGAGUCCUCACGUGUCUGGGGAGGAGAGUGAUGGUCAGCAGCCCACCAGCAACCCCAACCAAGAAAAGUCUUCCCACCUCCAAGGAAACCCACCCCAAAAGAACCCUCAGAGAUUUAUUCCCCACACCCCGUCCACUAAGCACACUAAGUGGUGUGAUGUUGGCCCCACUUCUAUAGUUCUACAGUUUUAUUGUUUUUAAUAAAAUAAAGAUUCUUGUUCUCUGUAUCUGCUUCCUCCAGCACAUCUUCUCGAUGCAGGCUGAAAGGAGCCAUGCAGAGGACUGAAAUGUAUUCUCUGCAACUUGCAGGUAGCAUGGUGCUUCUUGAAGAGAAAGUGUGCUGCUUCUCUCCUUUCUCUCCUGCUGCCCAGGUUUUCUUCAAUCUCAUUGACUUUAUCUCUUUCAGGGAUUUCAUCCUGUUUUUUCACUAACUCACAUCCCCAGGUUUAGAAAGCAGCAGCACAACCAGGGUGGUGUGCUUUGGGGUGAUCUUCCAGGGCCUGAGCAAGCGGCAGUGAAGAUCCAGUCACUCAGGAAGAUGACUCCAGUUGACAGUGUUUGGGGCCUGCAG